This 457-nucleotide long non-coding RNA is filed under the name Citrus sinensis (sweet orange). RNAcentral describes it as "long non-coding RNA (CSIN_LNC000455)". The record is from RNAcentral. Lineage: Eukaryota; Viridiplantae; Streptophyta; Magnoliopsida; Sapindales; Rutaceae.
UCGUGACCUUCACCCGCAACACCUUCAGCCGUUGGAAUCUCGUCCCCGCUGUUCGUCGCCACUGCUCGUCAGUCGUCACCGCUGCUCGUUGCUGCUGUCACGGUGCUCCCCUGCUACCAUUAUUUGUCUGAAUAUAGUGGGCUCACCGCAAAGAUUCUUUUGUUUUUGUCAACAAAAUCUCUCAGUAGAACAAAAAAUCGAACGAAAAAGGUUCCAUUUUUCGUUUCGGUUUUAUGAAUUUGGUUUAAAGUUCAUUUCUUUUUCCUCGUUCCCAUGUUUUUGUUAAUGUGCUUGAGUUAUGUAAAUAUCGCUGCCGUUUUUGUCUGGUUUGUUAUGUUUUUGCAGAGAAUAAAAAUCAAUAACUUGAGCUGCUGCUGAUUGUUUCGUGUUUUGUUUCGUAAUUUGUUGAGGUUCGUUCACUUGAGACGUUAUAUUUAGUUAUACCCAUGACUACUAA